GCAAGUCAAACACUUAACCAGACCUGCCUUGGGGAGAUUAACAGCAGAUCUCAGAGGCAGCCUGGGGAAGCCCUGUCUGUCAAUUCUUUGUACCUUCCUGAGCUUCAUUCUCCCACCUUCCCUCAUCCCUCAUUCUCAACAGUUCCCUCAAGAUCUUGUCUACAUACAUCUAUAAAUAAUCAAGAGGGACAGUUGAGAGAAGAGAAGAAGGGAACCAAGGAGGGAAAGGAAGAAGAAUAGGAAGGAAGGAAAGAAAAAGAGAAAGCUACAGGGAGCACAGGAGACGGAUGACCUGGAUGAAGCCUAAAUACUAGUUAGCAGUGAUGCUAAGAACAAUGGACCAACACACGAAGCUGAGUCCAGGAUCAUGAAGCUGUGGUGUUGAGAAGAGCCUGAGGUGGGGCAAGGAUUGAAGCAGAUAAAUCCUGCGGAAGGUUGUUGCACAGAUCAA
Long non-coding RNA from Talpa occidentalis (Iberian mole), 451 nucleotides. RefSeq lists it as uncharacterized. The record is from RefSeq and is a predicted model, not a curated record. The transcript is spliced from 3 exons. Lineage: Eukaryota; Metazoa; Chordata; Mammalia; Eulipotyphla; Talpidae.